RNAcentral lists this ribosomal RNA (706 nucleotides) under uncultured Bacteroidota bacterium. RNAcentral describes it as "bacterial SSU rRNA". It matches the Rfam family "Bacterial small subunit ribosomal RNA", at positions 62 to 769 of the family's 1533-position model. Lineage: Bacteria; Pseudomonadati; Bacteroidota. The record is from RNAcentral.
UCGAGGGGUAUGGUUCUUCGGAACCAGAGACCGGCGCACGGGUGCGUAACGCGUAUGCAAUCUACCUUUCACAGAGGGAUAGCCCAGAGAAAUUUGGAUUAAUACCUCAUAGUAUGCAGAGUUGGCAUCAACACUGCAUUAAAGUCACAACGGUGAAAGAUGAGCAUGCGUCCCAUUAGCUAGUUGGUAAGGUAACGGCUUACCAAGGCUACGAUGGGUAGGGGUCCUGAGAGGGAGAUCCCCCACACUGGUACUGAGACACGGACCAGACUCCUACGGGAGGCAGCAGUGAGGAAUAUUGGUCAAUGGGCGCAAGCCUGAACCAGCCAUGCCGCGUGCAGGAUGACGGUCCUAUGGAUUGUAAACUGCUUUUGUACGGGAAGAAACAACGAUUCGUGAAUCGUCUUGACGGUACCGUAAGAAUAAGGAUCGGCUAACUCCGUGCCAGCAGCCGCGGUAAUACGGAGGAUCCAAGCGUUAUCCGGAAUCAUUGGGUUUAAAGGGUCCGUAGGCGGUUUAGUAAGUCAGUGGUGAAAGCCCAUCGCUCAACGGUGGAACGGCCAUUGAUACUGCUAGACUUGAAUUAUUAGGAAGUAACUAGAAUAUGUAGUGUAGCGGUGAAAUGCUUAGAGAUUACAUGGAAUACCAAUUGCGAAGGCAGGUUACUACUAAUGGAUUGACGCUGAUGGACGAAAGCGUGGGUAGC